Molecule: ribosomal RNA, 490 nt
Filed under: uncultured bacterium
Lineage: Bacteria
Description: partial 16S ribosomal RNA
Rfam family: Bacterial small subunit ribosomal RNA
Source: RNAcentral
GAUGAACGCUAGCGGCAGGCCUAAUACAUGCAAGUCGAACGGGAUCCAGAUCAAAGCUUGCUUUGGUUUGGUGAGAGUGGCGCACGGGUGCGUAACGCGUGAGCAACCUACCCUUGUCAGGGGGAUAGCCCGGCGAAAGUCGGAUUAAUACCGCAUGACAUCAUUGAGAGGCAUCUUUCGAUGAUCAAAGAUUUAUCGGACAAGGAUGGGCUCGCGUGACAUUAGCUAGUUGGUAAGGUAACGGCUUACCAAGGCUACGAUGUCUAGGGGCUCUGAGAGGAGAAUCCCCCACACUGGUACUGAGACACGGACCAGACUCCUACGGGAGGCAGCAGUAAGGAAUAUUGGUCAAUGGACGGAGGUCUGAACCAGCCAUGCCGCGUGCAGGAAGACGGCCCUAUGGGUUGUAAACUGCUUUUAUACGGGAACAAACGUCGGUACGUGUACCGGUCUGAGUGUACCGUAAGAAUAAGGAUCGGCUAACUCCGUG